This 112-nucleotide non-coding RNA is filed under the name Compsopogon caeruleus. Lineage: Eukaryota; Rhodophyta; Compsopogonophyceae; Compsopogonales; Compsopogonaceae. The record is from RNAcentral.
GAACAAACUUACAAGGACAAAGCCAAUGGAAGGUGCUUAUUCUGUGUCUGUUAUUCUUUUUCUUUUUCUUUUUUCUUUUUUCUUUUUUUGUUUGUUUGGUUGUUUGUUUGAU